Gasterosteus aculeatus aculeatus (three-spined stickleback) is the source of this 1536-nucleotide long non-coding RNA. NCBI's taxonomy places the organism in Eukaryota, Metazoa, Chordata, Actinopteri, Perciformes, Gasterosteidae. The record is from Ensembl.
AUCAUUUAAAUCUGAUUCAUAAAGAAUAUUCCAUACUAACUAUUUUAUGAUGGAAGUGUAAAAUGUAAAAGCGCUGUUUUUCUGGAUGGAGUCUUGCUCAGUUUGUGUCCUGAUGUUUCUUGUUGUGUGAAGACUGGUUCUGUAAAUAAGAUGUUCUUUGGAGCUGGAACCAGUUUAACCAUUGAACCCAUGUCUGGUUCAUAGUUUCUGUCGCGCUGCAUCUUGUUGUGUGAAUACUGGAGGACGAUUUAAAAUGACCUUUGGCACUGGGACCAGUUUAACCAUUGAACCCAGUAAGUAACGAUAUCAUUUAUUAAUAGUUAUUAUGCCAACGUUCUUUGGAAACGAAACUGACUUGUGAAAUGAAAACAGUCAACAUAUAGAUCACAAAUAUUUAAAAUAAACUCUAUUCACCAGGACUCACUGAUCAUGAUAUCAGAAAAGUAAAUCGGAAUAAUCAAUUAGCAUUAAUUAACGACAUCAACAAUUUCUACUGUAGAGAAAACAUUUGAAAUCUAAAAACGCCUUUUUUCUGAAUGGAGUCUGGUUGUGUUUGUGUUGUGGGUAAAUCAAUACAAGAUCAUCUUUGGAGACGGAACCAGUUCAAACAUUGAACCCAGUAAGUUCUGAUAAUAUAGAUUUUAUAGUAUAGAUGUUACAUAUAUAUAAAUACACACAUAACCCAGAGUUUAUAGAAUCAAAAUCAAUACAUCAAACCUCACUGAUAUUAAUCAAUACUUAGAGCAUCGUCACUUUGACAGUAAGGCCCGCUCUAUUCAUAACAUAUAUGGUAUGUAAAUAUUUUAUGAAUAAAGUACCAACACCAUCUUAUAUGUAAUAAUAAUAUGUAUCAUAUAUAAUAAUAAUUCAGAUGAAAGUAUUAAAUGUUAAAUGGGGGAUUUUCUGAGUGGAGUCUGGUGGAGUUUGUGUCCUGAUGCUUCUUACUGUGUGAAUACUGGAAACAGGUUGAUCUUUGGAACUGGCACCAGUUUAACCAUUGAACCCAAAAGUGGUCCUCAUGUUUCUGAAGUGGAGUCGGGUUGAGUUUGUGUCCCGAUGCUUCUUGUUGUGUGAAUACUGGAUACAAGAUGAUGUUUGGAACUGGAACCAGUUUAACCAUUGAACCCAAGUCUGCUUCAUAGUUUCUGUCGCGCUGCGUCUUGUUGUGUGAAUGCUGGAGGAGGAUUUAAAAUGACCUUCGGCACUGGGACCAGUUUAACCAUUGAACCCAGUAAGUAACAAUUUAAUUCAUUAAAAGUUAUUAUGCCAACAAUCUUUGUAAACAAAACUGACUUGUACACAGUCAAAAUAGUCAAAAAUCACAAAUAUUUAAAAUAAACUCACCUCAAAUUCACCAGGACUCACUGAUCAUGAUAUCAGAAAAAGUAAAUCAGAAUAAUCAAUUAGCAUUAAUUAAAGACAUCAACAAUUUCUACUGUAGAGAAAACAUUUGAAAUCUGAAAACGGCUUUUUCUGAAUGGAGUCUGGUUGUGUUUGUGUUGUGGGUAAAUCAAUACAAGAUCAUCUUUGGAGACG